RNAcentral lists this ribosomal RNA (409 nucleotides) under uncultured bacterium. Its description in RNAcentral is "bacterial SSU rRNA". It matches the Rfam family "Bacterial small subunit ribosomal RNA", at positions 354 to 777 of the family's 1533-position model. The record is from RNAcentral.
GUGGGGAAUAUUGGGCAAUGGGCGCAAGCCUGACCCAGCAACGCCGCGUGAGUGAAGAAGGUCUUCGGAUUGUAAAGCUCUGUCCUUGGGGACGAAGGAAGUGACGGUACCCAAGGAGGAAGCUCCGGCUAACUACGUGCCAGCAGCCGCGGUAAUACGUAGGGAGCAAGCGUUGUCCGGAAUUACUGGGCGUAAAGGGUGCGUAGGCGGUUUGAUAAGUCAGAUGUGAAAUAUCCGGGCUUAACCCGGAGGGUGCAUUUGAAACUGUCAGACUUGAGUGCAGGAGAGGAAAGCGGAAUUCCUAGUGUAGCGGUGAAAUGCGUAGAUAUUAGGAGGAACACCAGUGGCGAAGGCGGCUUUCUGGACUGUAACUGACGCUGAGGCACGAAAGCGUGGGGAGCAAACAGGA